GACGAACGCUGGCGGCGUGCUUAACACAUGCAAGUCGAGCGGUAAGGCCCUUUCGGGGGUACGACGAGCGGCGAACGGGUGAGUAACACGUGGGUGACCUGCCCUCAGCUCUGGGAUAAGCCUGGGAAACCGGGUCUAAUACUGGAUAUGACUCCAUGACGCAUGUUGUGGGGUGGAAAGCCUUGUGCGGCUGAGGAUGGGCCCGCGGCCUAUCAGCUUGUUGGUGGGGUGANGGCCUACCAAGGCGACGACGGGUAGCCGGCCUGAGAGGGCGACCGGCCACACUGGGACUGAGACACGGCCCAGACUCCUACGGGAGGCAGCAGUGGGGAAUCUCGCGCAAUGGGCGAAAGCCUGACGCAGCGACGCCGCGUGAGGGAUGACGGCCU
RNAcentral lists this ribosomal RNA (389 nucleotides) under uncultured bacterium. RNAcentral's name for it is "bacterial SSU rRNA". It matches the Rfam family "Bacterial small subunit ribosomal RNA", at positions 28 to 417 of the family's 1533-position model. The record is from RNAcentral.